UACGAAGGGGGCUAGCGUUGCUCGGAAUCACUGGGCGUAAAGCGCACGUAGGCGGAUCUUUAAGUCAGGGGUGAAAUCCCGGAGCUCAACUCCGGAACUGCCUUUGAUACUGGGGAUCUUGAGUCCGGGAGAGGUGAGUGGAACUGCGAGUGUAGAGGUGAAAUUCGUAGAUAUUCGCAAGAACACCAGUGGCGAAGGCGGCUCACUGGCCCGGUACUGACGCUGAGGUGCGAAAGCGUGGGGAGCGAACAGG
This 253-nucleotide ribosomal RNA is filed under the name uncultured bacterium. RNAcentral's name for it is "partial 16S ribosomal RNA". It matches the Rfam family "Bacterial small subunit ribosomal RNA", at positions 524 to 776 of the family's 1533-position model. The record is from RNAcentral.